ACAAACUUGGUCAUUUAGAGGAAGUAAAAGUCGUAACAAGGUUUCCGUAGGUGAACCUGCGGAAGGAUCAUUAUUGAAUGAACAUUUGAAAGGCCUGUUGUUGCUGGUGAGACUUGUCUCAUAUUGUGCACGCGGGUUCUUCAUUCAUCCACACACACACCUGUGAACUCUUGUGGACGGAAGGGUAAUUCAUUAUUACCUGGAACUCCAUUUUUACUACACACACAUUGAUUACUAUUGUAUCGUUGGUUUAUAAAAUACAACUUUCAACAACGGAUCUCUUGGCUCUCGCAUCGAUGAAGAACGCAGC
RNAcentral lists this unclassified non-coding RNA (310 nucleotides) under uncultured fungus. RNAcentral's name for it is "partial contains small subunit ribosomal RNA, internal transcribed spacer 1, and 5.8S ribosomal RNA". The stretch from base 1 to 73 matches the Rfam family "Eukaryotic small subunit ribosomal RNA", at positions 1759 to 1831 of the family's 1831-position model. The record is from RNAcentral. Lineage: Eukaryota; Fungi.